AGGUCUUAGCUAGUCUGAAAAGAUGUGUACUAAGGCCGACGCCUGCCCAGUGCUGGUACGUGAACCCCGGGUUCAACCGGGCGAAGCGCCAGUAAACGGCGGGGGUAACUAUAACCCUCUUAAGGUAGCGAAAUUCCUUGUCGGGUAAGUUCCGACCUGCAUGAAUGGCGUAACGAGACCUCCACUGUCCCCGACUAGAAUCCGGUGAACCUACCAUUCCGGUGCAAAGGCCGGAGACUUCCAGUGGGAAGCGAAGACCCCGUGGAGCUUUACUGCAGCCUGUCGUUGGGGCAUGAUUGUGGGUGUACAGUGUAGGUGGGAGCCAUCGAAACCUUCUCGCUAGGGAAGGUGGAGGCGUCCAUGGGACACCACCCUCCUAUGAUCAUGUCCCUUACCCAAGUAUGGGGACACCGGUAGGUGGGCAGUUUGGCUGGGGCGGUACCCUCCUAAAAAUGCAUCAGGAGGGCCCAAAGGUUGGCUCAAGCGGGUCAGGACUCCGCUGUUGAGUGUAAGGGCAAAAGCCAGCCUGACUUAGUUGUCCACAAUACGCAACUAAGAGACGAAAGUCGGGCCUAACGAACCCCUGUGCCUCACCGAUGGAGGCCAGGGAUGACAGAAAAGCUACCCCGGGGAUAACAGAGUUGUCGCGGGCAAGAGCCCAUAUCGACCCCGCGGCUUGCUACCUCGAUGUCGGUUUUUCCCAUCCUGGAUCUGCAGCAGGAUCCAAGGGUGGGGCUGUUCGCCCAUUAAAGGGGAUCAUGAGCUGGGUUUAGACCGUCGUGAGACAGGUUGGUUGCUAUCUGCUGGAAGUGUUGGCUGUCUGAGGGAAAGGUGGUUCUAGUACGAGAGGAACGAGCCGCCGGUGCCUCUAGUUUAUCGGUUGUUCGACAGGGCAUUGCCGAGCCGCCACGCACCAAGGGAUAAGAGCUGAAAGCAUCUAAGCUCGAAGUCCAUCCUGAAAACAGACAGCCGUCCUUCUAGGAGGCGAGGGGUCCCAUAGAAGAUGGGUUUGAUAGGCUAGGAAUGUAAGCAUCAAGGUUUUCCGAGGUGUUUAGUUCGCUAGUACUAACCCCCCAAGAGAUAUUGG
Molecule: ribosomal RNA, 1087 nt
Filed under: metagenome
Description: bacterial LSU rRNA
Rfam family: Archaeal large subunit ribosomal RNA
Source: RNAcentral